Molecule: ribosomal RNA, 468 nt
Filed under: uncultured bacterium
Lineage: Bacteria
Description: partial 16S ribosomal RNA
Rfam family: Bacterial small subunit ribosomal RNA
Source: RNAcentral
GACGAACGCUGGCGGCGUGCUUAACACAUGCAAGUCGAACGGAAAGGCCCUGCUUUUGUGGGGUGCUCGAGUGGCGAACGGGUGAGUAACACGUGAGUAACCUGCCCUUGACUUUGGGAUAACUUCAGGAAACUGGGGCUAAUACCGGAUAGGAGCUCCUGCUGCAUGGUGGGGGUUGGAAAGUUUCGGCGGUUGGGGAUGGACUCGCGGCUUAUCAGCUUGUUGGUGGGGUAGUGGCUUACCAAGGCUUUGACGGGUAGCCGGCCUGAGAGGGGGACCGGCCACAUUGGGACUGAGAUACGGCCCAGACUCCUACGGGAGGCAGCAGUGGGGAAUCUUGCACAAUGGGCGGAAGCCUGAUGCAGCAACGCCGCGUUCGGGAUGACGGCCUUUGGGUUGUAAACCGCUUUCGCCUGUGACGAAGCGUGAGUGACGGUAAUGGGUAAAGAAGCACCGGCUAACUACGUG